CAGAAGAUAGUUUAAUAAAAAUAUUAAUUUUGGGAAUUAUUGAUAGGGGUAACCUCUUCUUCUGA
RNAcentral lists this transfer RNA (65 nucleotides) under Remiarctus bertholdii. RNAcentral's name for it is "tRNA-Pro". Lineage: Eukaryota; Metazoa; Arthropoda; Malacostraca; Decapoda; Scyllaridae. The record is from RNAcentral.